UACGUAGGCAGCAAGCGUUGUUCGGAAUUACUGGGCGUAAAGAGUGUGUAGGCGGUGCUCCAAGUCUGGUGUGAAUCUCCCGGCUCAACUGGGAGGGUGCGCUAGAAACUGGAAUGCUAGAGGAUGGGAGAGGGUAAGCGGAAUUCCUGGUGUAGCGGUGAAAUGCGUAGAUAUCAGGAGGAACACCUGUGGUGUAGACAGCUUACUGGACCAUUUCUGACGCUGAGACACGAAAGCGUGGGUAGCAAACAGG
RNAcentral lists this ribosomal RNA (253 nucleotides) under uncultured bacterium. RNAcentral describes it as "partial 16S ribosomal RNA". It matches the Rfam family "Bacterial small subunit ribosomal RNA", at positions 524 to 776 of the family's 1533-position model. The record is from RNAcentral.